GACGAACGCUGGCGGCGCGCUUAACACAUGCAAGUCGAACGGAAAGGCCUGCUUUCCCUUGUGGAUUGCGGGUACUCGAGUGGCGAACGGGUGAGUAACACGUGAGUGAUCUGCCCCCAACUUGGGUAUAAGCCUGGGAAACUGGGUCUAAUUCCCGAUAGGACUGCAGGGUGGUGCCUGUGGUGGAAAACGAUUUUCUAGUGGUUGGGGAUGAGCUCGCGGCCUAUCAGCUUGUUGGUGGGGCAAUGGCCUACCAAGGCGGCGACGGGUAGCCGGCCUGGGAGGGUGGACGGCCACAUUGGGACUGAGAUACGGCCCAGACUCCUACGGGAGGCAGCAGUGGGGAAUAUUGCACAAUGGGCGGAAGCCUGAGGCAGCGACGCCGCGUGGGGGAUGACGGCCUUCGGGUUGUAAACUCCUUUCGACCGCGAGGAAGCCACCUGGUUGGAAGGGUGGUGACGGUAGUGGUAGAAGAAGCACCGGCUAACUACGUG
This 494-nucleotide ribosomal RNA is filed under the name uncultured bacterium. Its description in RNAcentral is "partial 16S ribosomal RNA". It matches the Rfam family "Bacterial small subunit ribosomal RNA", at positions 28 to 507 of the family's 1533-position model. The record is from RNAcentral.